UGCCUCGGCCCCACCACGGGGCUUUGCUGUUGUGCCUGCAGCUGUGCAGGCGGCUGCACCGGUGAAGGCACCACGGAAGUCGAAGAUCCAGCCGGCUGUGGCUGAUCCCUUAACUGCUCCCUAUCCAUUGCCGUUGGCGACGAAGCGUUUUGCACCUCUGAAUCUUGAUCGGUCUCCGGCACCAUCGACGAGUCCACAUCCAUUGCUUCCAAACUGCAAUCCCUGCCCUAUAUUCAAGAUCGGAGCUAGAUUUCCAACGAAUUCGCAUCUCUAAACACCAUUUUCAACGAUUCACCCCAAAUUCACCAACAGCAGCGUACAAAAAAUUGAAACCCUAGCUAAGAUGCUCUAUUUUCAAAAUCCAAAAAAACAACAAAAAAAAUCUAUAAAUUUUCCGGGAAAAAUAAAAUCUGGAAAGGUAAAGAGAGAGUUUCGAUUAGGUUUUCGUGUUUUAUGUUCUGGCCCUCACUGUCUGUG
RNAcentral lists this unclassified non-coding RNA (477 nucleotides) under Hevea brasiliensis (rubber tree). The record is from RNAcentral. Lineage: Eukaryota; Viridiplantae; Streptophyta; Magnoliopsida; Malpighiales; Euphorbiaceae.